This 307-nucleotide ribosomal RNA is filed under the name uncultured bacterium. RNAcentral's name for it is "partial 16S ribosomal RNA". It matches the Rfam family "Bacterial small subunit ribosomal RNA", at positions 506 to 807 of the family's 1533-position model. The record is from RNAcentral.
AGACAGCAGUCGCCACGGGAAUACGGAGGGUGCAAGCGUUAAUCGGAAUUACUGGGCGUAAAGCGCACGCAGGCGGUCUGACAAGUCAGAUGUGAAAUCCCCGGGCUUAACCUGGGAACUGCAUUUGAAACUGUCAGGCUGGAGUCUUGUAGAGGGGGGUGGAAUUCCAGGUGUAGCGGUGAAAUGCGUAGAGAUCUGGAGGAAUACCGGUGGCGAAGGCGGCCCCCUGGACAAAGACUGACGCUCAGGUGCGAAAGCGUGGGGAGCAAACAGGAUUAGAUACCCCUGUAGUCCCUGUCUCUUAUAC